GACGAACCGUGCGAACGUUGUUCGGAAUCACUGGGCUUAAAGGGCGCGUAGGCGGGCUGCCAAGUCUGUGGUGAAAUCCUCCAGCUUAACUGGAGAACGGCCGUGGAUACUGGCGGUCUCGAGGGAGGUAGGGGCAAGUGGAACUGUGCGUGGAGCGGUGAAAUGCGUUGAUAUGCACAGGAACUCCGGUGGCGAAGGCGACUUGCUGGACCUCUUCUGACGCUGAGGCGCGAAAGCUAGGGGAGCGAACGGG
This 253-nucleotide ribosomal RNA is filed under the name uncultured bacterium. RNAcentral's name for it is "partial 16S ribosomal RNA". It matches the Rfam family "Bacterial small subunit ribosomal RNA", at positions 524 to 776 of the family's 1533-position model. The record is from RNAcentral.